UGAAUGUUGGUGUCCAUGACCUAGCUCCUC
This 30-nucleotide non-coding RNA is filed under the name Mus musculus (house mouse). The record is from RNAcentral. Lineage: Eukaryota; Metazoa; Chordata; Mammalia; Rodentia; Muridae.